GAGUUUGAUCCUGGCUCAGAUUGAACGCUGGCGGCAGGCCUAACACAUGCAAGUCGAGCGGUAGAGAGAAGCUUGCUUCUCUUGAGAGCGGCGGACGGGUGAGUAAUGCCUAGGAAUCUGCCUGGUAGUGGGGGAUAACGCUCGGAAACGGACGCUAAUACCGCAUACCGUCCUACGGGAGAAAGCAGGGGACCUUCGGGCCUUUGCGCUAUCAGAUGAGCCUAGGUCGGAUUAGCUAGUUGGUGAGGUAAUGGACUCACCCAAGGCGACGAUCCGUAACUGGUCUGAGAGGAUGAUCAGUCACACUGGAACUGAGACACGGUCCAGACUCCUACGGGAGGCAGCAGU
Molecule: ribosomal RNA, 348 nt
Filed under: uncultured bacterium
Lineage: Bacteria
Description: bacterial SSU rRNA
Rfam family: Bacterial small subunit ribosomal RNA
Source: RNAcentral